This 480-nucleotide small RNA is filed under the name Vigna angularis var. angularis. Its description in RNAcentral is "Non-protein coding transcript". The record is from RNAcentral. Lineage: Eukaryota; Viridiplantae; Streptophyta; Magnoliopsida; Fabales; Fabaceae.
UGUGGAAGACAUUGUGGUAUGAAAAAAAGUAAUGGCUUCUAAUAGAAUCUCUUUUAUUUGGGUUCUUCUCUUUGAUUUUGUGUUAGGUUUCUUAUUUGUUAGGGCAUCGACAACAUUGAACGUAGGUGGCUUUCAUGCAAGUUCAUUUGAAAAAUUUCAGAGUAGAAGGUUACUCUCAGAACGAUCAGCAGAUCGUCCUUGUUGUGGAAAUUAUCAGCAUUGAUUUGGAUGUUGCAUGCCUUGUGUUUGAAGGAAUAUAAAGAAAUAAAAGGUUUAUAACAAGCUAUUAAGUCUCACAAUUCACGAGUUAAGAGAUUUGGCAAAUUGACCCAUGAGAUGUACCUCAAGGACCUUAGAGACUAUGUUUAUGAUGAUUUAUAUAUGAUUAUUCAUAAAAUAUAUGAGCUAGAAUACAACACUUCUACUUCUUCAAAAAAUAGUAGUUAUUUUGUAUUGUAAAUGGUUUUGAUCAAAAUACCA